GAUUGGCUCGCGUGACAUUAGCUAGAUGGUAAGGUAACGGCUUACCAUGGCUACGAUGUCUAGGGGUUCUGAGAGGAAGAUCCCCCACACUGGAACUGAGACACGGUCCAGACUCCUACGGGAGGCAGCAGUGAGGAAUAUUGGACAAUGGAUGGAAAUCUGAUCCAGCCAUGCCGCGUGCAGGAAGACGGCCCUAUGGGUUGUAAACUGCUUUUAUAUGGGAGCAAUAAGGCCUACGUGUAGGUUGAUGAGAGUACCAUAUGAAUAAGCACCGGCUAACUCCGUGCCAGCAGCCGCGGUAAUACGGAGGGUGCAAGCGUUAUCCGGAUUUAUUGGGUUUAAAGGGUGCGUAGGCGGUUUGAUAAGUCAGCGGUGAAAUAUUUCAGCUUAACUGGAAGGGUGCCGUUGAUACUGUCAGGCUUGAAUUUAGUUGCUGUGGGUGGAAUGUGUGGUGUAGCGGUGAAAUGCAUAGAUAUCACACAGAAUAUCGAUUGCGAAGGCAGCUCACAAAGCUAAAAUUGACGCUGAUGCACGAAAGUGUGGGGAUCAAACAGGAUUAGAUACCCUGGUAGUCCACACUGUAAA
RNAcentral lists this ribosomal RNA (585 nucleotides) under uncultured bacterium. RNAcentral describes it as "bacterial SSU rRNA". It matches the Rfam family "Bacterial small subunit ribosomal RNA", at positions 224 to 806 of the family's 1533-position model. The record is from RNAcentral.